Molecule: small nucleolar RNA, 216 nt
Filed under: Beta vulgaris subsp. vulgaris (sugar beet)
Lineage: Eukaryota; Viridiplantae; Streptophyta; Magnoliopsida; Caryophyllales; Amaranthaceae
Description: snoRNA Plant_U3
Rfam family: Plant small nucleolar RNA U3
About the family: Small nucleolar RNAs (snoRNAs) are involved in the processing and modification of rRNA in the nucleolus.
Source: Rfam by way of RNAcentral
ACGACCUUACUUGAACAGGAUCUGUUCUAUAGGAUCGUACCUCUGUAUCCUUGAGUUCUAAGGAGACAGGAAACUAAGUCUGGUGGAUGAAUUAUGACCAUGUGAUCAGAGCGUGAUUAACAGCAACCAAUUGUUCUUCGGAUCCUUGGUGCAGUAGAGGAUCGUUCCCCAGCUCCUCUGUGAGUUUCGGAUGAUCUCAUGGUUGUCUGACAGACU